Molecule: long non-coding RNA, 1148 nt
Filed under: Carica papaya (papaya)
Lineage: Eukaryota; Viridiplantae; Streptophyta; Magnoliopsida; Brassicales; Caricaceae
Description: long non-coding RNA (CPAP_LNC003950)
Source: RNAcentral
AAUUUGUCUAAGUUGGUAGAAAACAUAAAACUGUCGACGGAGAUGGUUCAAAAUAUUUUUAUCUUUAAUUCAAAAAACACGUAAUAUCUAGACUCUAAUUCAUUAACCAAACCUUAUAAAUCAAUUUAUUUAGUAAACAUUGAGAAUUCAUUAUUUUAGUAUCAUAACUUAGGGUAUAAAUAGUGCAAUAAAUAACAUAAUUCAGUAUUCAGUAUCAUAAUUUAGGCAGUAAGCAGUUCAGUAUUUCAGUAUCAUAAACAUUACACACGACUUUCUAUUCAUUCCUAUCAGCUUAUAUCCUAUAAAAUAACUUCACCACGCGAUGUCAUUUAUGUAAGUAUCAACGAGAGUAGUAAAGAUCCCUUUUACCACGUGAAUACGUUACAGUUGAGCUCACAGUUUAUAGUUUACAAUACAUAGUAUUUAGUUCAUAAUUCCUAUCACUUCGUCACGUCUAACUAAAAUAGUAUCCAUAGGUAGGGUUCACCACAGUCACACGCCAAAAAGGUACACACACACACCCACUAUUCGAUGAUACCAGUUAAAUGAGUUUUUCAAAUAUUUUAUUAUCUAUUUAUUUAUUUUAAUUCACUAAUUAAUUUUCUAAUUUUUAUUAUUUAAUAUAUUUUAUACCUAUAACAUGCAUACGGUAAUCAUUCAUUACCCUAGAUUCUUCUACAUAUUCUUACUAUACUCUAAAUUACAUAGAAACUAGUACAUCUACGAAUUCAGUUACCAAAACAUAGUAAAACAAUUCAUCAGCAAUUUUAAUAGUAAAUAUAAAUAAGAACACAAUAAUCAGUAGUAAAAUCCCGUCGGAAUCAUGUGCCUAAUCAUUAAUUAUUAAAUAUCAUAGUUUUUAAUAUAUUAGAAAGAUUAAACUACAUUUGUAAGCAUUCAUACACUUAUCUGAUUUCAGUCUAAAUCUCUUUCGUGAAGUUAUCUCUAAUGUAUAAGAUCAACUUAUUACAGCGAUAUCCGGAUCGGGUUAGUAAUGAGCUAGUUAUUCCCUAAUUUCAAACACUCGUGUCUAUACUUAUUUCUAAUUAUAAACCAGAUAUGUAAUUUGUUAUAUUAAAAUUAAAUAGGAUUAAUAAAUCCUAAAUCUAAAACAAUAAACCAUCAAGGUUUUUUUUUUAACUCUCCUU